UAAUACAGAGGGUGCGAGCGUUAAUCGGAAUUACUGGGCGUAAAGCGCACGUAGGUGGUUUUGUAAGUCGGAUGUGAAAUCCCCGGGCUUAACCCGGGAACUGCAUUCGAGACUGCAUUACUCGAGUAUGGGAGAGGGAAGCGGAAUUUCCGGUGUAGCGGUGAAAUGCGUAGAUAUCGGAAGGAACAUCAGUGGCGAAAGCGGCUUCCUGGCCCAAUACUGACACUCAUGUGCGAAAGCGUGGGGAGCAAACAGGAUUAGAUACCCUGGUAGUCCACGCCAUAAACGAUGAGAACUAGAUGUCGAGAGGGUUAGCCUCACGGUGUCGCAGCUAACGCGUUAAGUUCUCCGCCUGGGGAGUACGGCCGCAAGGUUG
This 376-nucleotide ribosomal RNA is filed under the name uncultured bacterium. RNAcentral describes it as "bacterial SSU rRNA". It matches the Rfam family "Bacterial small subunit ribosomal RNA", at positions 521 to 896 of the family's 1533-position model. The record is from RNAcentral.